AAUAAACGCUGGCGGCGUGCCUAACACAUGCAAGUCGAGCGAGAAAGCUCCUUCGGGAGUUAGUAAAGCGGCGAACGGGUGAGCAACACGUGAGAAUCUACCCUUUAGUGAAGAAUACCCUCGAGAAAUCGAGGCUAAUACUGCAUACGUCCCUUCGGGGAGAAAGAUGGCCUCUUUGCUAUCGCUAAAGGAUGAGCUUGCGUACUAUUAGCUAGUUGGCGGGGUAAAGCCCACCAAGGCAAUGAUGGUUAACCGGCCUGAGAGGGUGUACGGUCACACUGGAACUUAGACACGGUCCAGACUCCUACGGGAGGCAGCAGUGAGGAAUCUUGCGCAAUGGGCGAAAGCCUGACGCAGCGACGCCGCGUGGAGGAUGACGGUUUUCGGAUUGUAAACUCCUGUUAAGCGGGAAGAAAGCCUUGUUUCUAAUACAAGCAAGGUAUGACGGUACCGCUAGAGAAAGCACCGGCUAACUUCGUGCCAGCAGCCGCGGUAA
This 496-nucleotide ribosomal RNA is filed under the name uncultured bacterium. Its description in RNAcentral is "bacterial SSU rRNA". It matches the Rfam family "Bacterial small subunit ribosomal RNA", at positions 29 to 523 of the family's 1533-position model. The record is from RNAcentral.